RNAcentral lists this ribosomal RNA (550 nucleotides) under uncultured fungus. RNAcentral describes it as "eukaryotic LSU rRNA". The stretch from base 202 to 357 matches the Rfam family "5.8S ribosomal RNA". The record is from RNAcentral. Lineage: Eukaryota; Fungi.
AAGUCGUAACAAGGUCUCCGUAGGUGAACCUGCGGAGGGAUCAUUACCGAGUGCGGGCCCCGCGCGCCCAGACCUCCCAACCCUCUGUCGACGUAAUACGCGUUGCCUCGGGGUGCGACCCGACGUCGCGCCGGAGCCCCCGAGGACGUCCAACCGAACACACUGCGUCCUUGCGUCGGAGUAUGAAAAUCAAUCAAUCAAAACUUUCAACAACGGAUCUCUUGGUUCUGGCAUCGAUGAAGAACGCAGCGAAAUGCGAUAAGUAAUGUGAAUUGCAGAAUUCAGUGAAUCAUCGAAUCUUUGAACGCACAUUGCGCCCCUUGGCAUUCCGAAGGGGGCAUGCCCGUUCGAGCGUCAUUACACCACUCGAGCCUGGCUUCGGUAUUGGGCGUCGGGAUGCCCCGCGCCUCUAAUGUUGUUCGGCUGGACGGUUCGAAUCUCAGCGUUGUGCAAUCCAAAUCCGCUGUGCGGACUGACUGGACGCGUCCGUGAAACAUACUCCCAUCACAAGGUUGACCUCGGAUCAGGUAGGGAUACCCGCUGAACUUAA